Molecule: long non-coding RNA, 1261 nt
Organism: Patella vulgata (common limpet)
Lineage: Eukaryota; Metazoa; Mollusca; Gastropoda; Patellidae
Exons: 9
Source: RefSeq, a predicted model, not a curated record
UCGAGAGCGAGACAUUAAGUAAUAUAUUGUAACAACAUGAGGGCCGUAGGCCCGAAUGUUUUUACAAUAUAUUACGCAAUGUCGUAAGCUCGAGACCAUUAAACAUCUUAAAAUACUGACACUCCGCACGAGCUUUUACGUCACACUAGUCCAAUAUCUCACUGGUAUGAAUAAAGUACUAUUGGCAAGUUGCCCGUACGAUUAUUUGAAAUAAUGGUACGCCAACAUCAAAGGGUGACGUCACAUCUGUAUUUUAAAAUAUUAUAUUGCACUUUACGGGGAGAUUGCACACGGACUAAUAAACAAGGGUGUGUUGUCUGAUGCUGUGCUUAUGGCUUCGUUAGCUAACAAAGUUAUCCUUAUAACCGGUUCCAGUGCUGGUAUUGGUGCAGGGAUCGCUGUUCAUCUCGCCCCUCUACAGCCUAAAUUAGUUUUAACCGGACGUAAUAAAGAAAACUUGAACAAAAUAGCAGAAAAAUGUCAAAACGCGGGACUUUCAGCUGAAAAGAUUCACACCAUAACAGCCGAUAUUAAAAAAGAUGAAGAUUUGAAAAACUUGAUAGAUGGCACUGCCAAAAAAUUUAAUGGAUUAGAUGUGUUGGUAAACAAUGCAGGAAUAAAUUAUUAUAAAACUACGCAAGAAACUCAGAUGCCCAAAUUUGAUGAAAUCAUGGCGAUCAAUGUCAGGGCACCGUUUCAAUUAGCUCAGCUGGCUAUACCACAUCUCAUAAAAACAAAAGGUACAAUUAUCAACAUUUCCAGUGCUUUGGGACAGAAAGGGAUACCCCAAGCUACAGCUUAUUGUAUGGGUAAAUCGUCCAUUGACCAUUUCACAAAAUUAUUAGCAGCAGAACUUGGACCCCAUCGAGUACGUGUUAAUUCGGUGAGUCCUGGAUUUACUAGAUCAGAACUUCAACUUAGAGCAGGGAUGCCAAAGGAACAAUUAGAGGAUUACAUCAAAGCCCAGAGUUAUCUAACAGCAUUAGGCCGAGCUGGAGAACCAGAUGACAUAGCUAAAUGUGUCAAGUUUCUAGCUUCAGAUGAAGCUUCUUUUAUAACUGGAGAAAAUGUUCUGGUUGAUGGCGGAAGGAAUAUUGCAGUACCCAAAUUCAACAUAUCUGGAAACUAAGAAUAUAUUAUGUUGUUUAAGACAAAUUAAUAACAUUGUUAUAACAAGUCAUAUGUGGAAACUUAAGAACUCAUUACAUUGUUUAAGACAAAUAAAUAUAUGCCUAACAUUGUUGAUACAACCAUAUCGAUU